This is a long non-coding RNA of Pan troglodytes (chimpanzee), 312 nucleotides long. RefSeq lists it as uncharacterized. The record is from RefSeq and is a predicted model, not a curated record. The transcript has 2 exons. NCBI's taxonomy places the organism in Eukaryota, Metazoa, Chordata, Mammalia, Primates, Hominidae.
AUGGAACACACGCGAUUUCAGCCGCCGUUCAACCUUUCUAAAAGCUUUCACAUCCAUUAUCUGACUGGUGUCUCAAACUGCUACUGAGGCUUCAGCUCUGAUCUGGACCAGUGCUCUCCAGGCCUACUGCACAGCUGUCAUACUGAACUUUCCUACAUCCUACACCUGGUUGGGGUUCCCUGUGCCCUGGACCUUGUGUCUCAAACUUCUGGAUUGUGGAUUUACUCUGUCAUCUCUGUGCAGCACAUCUUUCUGUAGAUUCCUGAGAAAGGUUGCAAAGAAGCAAAUAUAUUUAGUCCUUGUAUGUCUAAA